GAUGAACGCUGGCGGCGUGCUUAACACAUGCAAGUCGAGCGAGUGAGUUCUUCGGAACAAUCUAGCGGCGGACGGGUGAGUAACACGUGGGCAACCUGCCUCAUAGAGGGGAAUAGUCUCCCGAAAGGGAGAUUAAUACCGCAUAAAAUUAUCGAGUGGCAUCACAUGAUAAUCAAAGGAGUAAUCCGCUAUGAGAUGGGCCCGCGGCGCAUUAGCUAGUUGGUGAGGUAACGGCUCACCAAGGCGACGAUGCGUAGCCGACCUGAGAGGGUGAUCGGCCACAUUGGGACUGAGACACGGCCCAGACUCCUACGGGAGGCAGCAGUGGGGAAUAUUGCACAAUGGGGGAAACCCUGAUGCAGCAACGCCGCGUGAGUGAUGAAGGUCUUCGGAUUGUAAAGCUCUGUCUUUGGGGACGAUAAUGACGGAACCCAAGGAGGAAGCCACGGCUAACUACGUGCCAGCCGCCGCCGUAA
This 476-nucleotide ribosomal RNA is filed under the name uncultured bacterium. Its description in RNAcentral is "partial 16S ribosomal RNA". It matches the Rfam family "Bacterial small subunit ribosomal RNA", at positions 28 to 523 of the family's 1533-position model. The record is from RNAcentral.